Rhineura floridana is the source of this 4091-nucleotide RNA transcript. It is a transcript of the gene named syntaxin 1A, with no coding region annotated. The record is from RefSeq and is a predicted model, not a curated record. The transcript is spliced from 10 exons. NCBI's taxonomy places the organism in Eukaryota, Metazoa, Chordata, Lepidosauria, Squamata, Rhineuridae.
CCGCCCCCCCCCCGCCAGCUGCCGCUCCUCCUUCUCCUCCCUCAAUCGCGGCCGCCGCCGGAGAGCCGAGCAGCGAACGCGGAGCCGGAGCCAUGAAGGAUCGGACGCAGGAGCUGCGCACGGGCAAGGACAGCGAUGACGAGGAGGAGGUGGCUGUUGGGGUCGAUCGGGAUCGCUUCAUGGACGAGUUUUUUGAGCAGGUGGAAGAGAUUCGGGGUUUCAUAGACAAUAUCUUGGAGAAUGUGGAAGAGGUCAAGCGGAAGCACAGCGCCAUCCUGGCCUCCCCCAACCCCGACGAGAAAACCAAGGAGGAAUUGGAAGAACUAAUGUCCAACAUCAAGAAGACAGCCAACAAAGUGCGCUCCAAGCUAAAGAGUAUUGAGCAGAGCAUCGAACAAGAGGAGGGGCUGAACAGAUCGUCGGCAGACCUGAGGAUAAGGAAGACACAGCAUUCCACCUUGUCACGGAAGUUUGUGGAAGUGAUGUCGGAGUACAACGCCACCCAGUCCGACUACCGGGAGCGCUGCAAGGGAAGGAUUCAGAGGCAACUAGAAAUAACCGGCAGAACCACCACCAGCGAGGAGCUGGAGGACAUGUUGGAGAGCGGGAACCCAGCCAUUUUCUCCUCUGGGAUCAUAAUGGACUCCAACAUUACAAAGCAGGCACUGAAUGAGAUCGAGACACGGCACAGUGAGAUCAUCAAGCUGGAGAACAGCAUCCGUGAGCUUCACGAUAUGUUCAUGGAUAUGGCCAUGCUGGUGGAGAGCCAGGUCUGGGACUGAAUGCCAUGGCUGGGGAUAUGGGCACCGGCCCUCCCGAGACUGCAAGUGGAGUCAUUUGUGAGUAAGGGAAGCACUUUGAGGCCCUGCCAGUGGCUUUGGAAAUACAAACCUGUGUGCAUCCCCUGCUGCGUAGGGCGAGAUGAUAGACCGCAUCGAAUACAACGUGGAGCACGCCGUGGAUUACGUCGAGAGAGCCGUGUCGGACACCAAGAAAGCGGUCAAGUACCAGAGCAAAGCCAGGCGGAAGAAGAUCAUGAUCAUCAUUUGCUGCGUGGUGCUGGGCGUCGUCAUCGCUUCCACAGUUGGCGGGAUCUUUGCCUAGAAGCCCAUGGCCGGGACUCUUGUCUCUUGGGGAUGGGGAGGGGAGGGGAAGGGUGCCUGGGGCCCAGCCACCCACGUCCCCAGCUGCCCUGGCGUGCCUGGGCCUCACAGCAGUCUCUGCAGGGAGAAAAAACUGGCUGGCCACCUCCUCCAUCUCUAAUGCAUGAUUGUUCGUGUUAAUGCUGCGUGUCCAAGUACGGGGGGGGUGCAUGUGGCCUGCACCAGGACCCAGCACCAGCAGCAGCGUCACAGAGGAGGCCCUUUCAUGGCUCCCGCCCCACACCUCUUGACAACCUUGCCUCCUCGUGCUUACAGCCUCUCUCUUCCACUUGGCAAGGGGAACCACUCCUGUUUCAGUCCCAGCGAGGUCCUCUUCCUGCUCCCCCUCCAAAGAUGAGCAAAACCAGGCCCUGUUCCCUGCCCCCAGGGCUGAGGCUUGGCCCAUUACACGGAAGGAAAGCUCCUGGAACAGCUGCUGAUCCCUUUGUGUGAACGGGAACAGUAUUUCUCUGCUGCCCCCCCCCAAGCUGCAGCCCCUGCAGGGACCCCUCAGUGGUGGUGCCCAUUUGCCCUGACUUUUGGUUCCACUGAGCAGCCAUUAGCUGCUCUUUUCUGCACCAGGUGCUUGUUUUGUGUUGUCCUCCCAUGUCUAGGAGUGCAGCAUGCUGCCUUAGCCCAAGCCAGACUCCUGGUCCCUCUAGCUCAGUACUGUUCACACUGACUGGCAGCAGCUCUCUAGGGUUUCAGACUCAGGGGUCUUUCCCAGCCCUGUCUGGAGACGCCCCUGGGGACUGAACCUGGGUCCCCUCUCCCCACCCCCCCCUCCACCAGCAUCAGCUACUGGGCCUGCCUCUUGCCAUAUUCCAAGCUGGUAUAUUUAUUUAAAAUAUGACUCCAACCUUUUUGCUUAAAAAAGCCUCGGUGUAACUCCAGAUUAACACAAAAGCAAUGGUUUUAUUUUAUGCUUUUUUAAAAAAGCACUUUUAGAAAUCAGGAGGAGCAGGGAGCCAGCUCUUAUAGAAACAGGCCAUUGCCGCUGCUUCCCAUUAUUUUUUAAGAUUUUUUUAGAUGUUCACUCAAGGUUUGUAAGCAGACACUGAAAAGCGUGUCCAGUGGACUCACAGCCAACCAGCAGGGUGUGUGUUUAUGUGCGCAGUCCACACAUCUUGUGGUCCAAAGGGGUUUGAAUUUCCGUGGGUGAAAUAGAGCCUCGUUGCAGAAUUUCCAAAAUGUCCUCCAAGGAGCACCAAUUCGGCACCUUGCCUGCCCUCCUCCUUCCCAAGCUGCUCACGCCAGAGAUCGCUGAUCUCUGCGCUACCAGAUGUUGCCGGACUCCAGUGCCCAUCCCUGACCAUUGCCCGUGUUGGCAAGGCUGACGAGGGUCAACAGUGCCUGGUGGGCCACCAGUUCCCUACCCCUGUAACAGUUUCAGCCUGCUGGCUUCCUGAGUGAGGGGUGUGCUUGCCUUGCCUGACUAAUCAUGCCACCUGCCACCUUUUUUCUCUUUGGUCAAACGCAUGCGCUCGCACACUGAGCUAAGCCUGCGCCUGCUGCCACCCUGUGAGGCAAUUUCAGAGGUGGCUGAGCAAAGAUUGCCCCCUCCCCCCCAAAAUGUGGAAGCACAGAACUGGGUCGAGAUCCGUCCCGCCCCUUCUCAGGCCCAGUAGAGGAGCUGUGGGGUGCUUUUGGGUUCCUCUACAGCAGAGGUGGGAGAGCAGGCGUGGCUGGCCUCCAACUCCCCAUCAGCCAGCACAGCCGAUGAUCGGGGAUGAUGGGAGUUGCAGUCCAACGAGGAGCUGCUUCCCGUGACAAGGAGAGGAUUUGCACUCCUUCAUCUGCAGCGAGUUAAGGGUGACGCCAGUUCUAUAUGCAACGCAGCAAGUGCCAACCCCGUCUUGAACCUGGCUCUUCCAGUGGCUCCACAGCACCAGCAAGUCUCUGGGAAAAGCAGCACCGUAACCGACCUGGAUCACGCGCUUGCUGCUGAGGCCUCCCUCUGCCAGGGGAGUGAAGAUGCUGAUAAAGGGAGGCGUCUUGUAACCGCAGGACCUUGUUCUGCCUCCUGAAGCGGAGGGCUCUCUCCUUGCUGGCCAGGACCCCAGAGCAAGCAGGAUGAAGCCUGUCCCACUCCCAAGGAGAGUUAAGCUGCAUCCGCUGCAGGACCGAGGCGGCUUGUGCGGUGUGCAUCUUCUCCCAGGCUUCAGUCUGCAGCAAUGGCGUGCAGCCUCGCUGGCCCUUCUGAGCAAGCCGUUUUGUUCGAGAGCCACACAGCAGCUAAAUCAACAGUCUUCAAGGAGCUGAGCAGACCAGUUGCCGAGAUGGAGCAGAGACCCUCUCUCCCUCCCCGAUGAUGGACGGACCUUCCUUCCCCUGCAGAAGGUCAGGGGUGACGAAACAACCUCUUUCCAUAGAGUACAUACAAUUACGUCUUGUGCAGUGCUGCUCCCGACCCCGUUCCCCCAAGACCCUAAACUCACUCUUCUGCAAGCAACGCAGGAGUGAUGAGCCACUAGUACCAGCUGCUGCCCUUCCUCUUCUGCCAGGCCUUCCUUGCCUUUUUCUUGCAUGUCCAAAUCGGAGCCGUCAGAGGCGUGUCAGGGCUUCAGAAGCUGUCCCACCCUGCCAGUUGUCAGUUUUUCUUUUUUAAAAAAAGAGAGCGCCCGGAAGUGCCACCAUCAGUAUUCUGCCUCCUUGCAGGGAGAGAACAUUUACCAAAACUUCUUUUCGACACAUCUUUGCGGAGGCCUCCCGUGGAGUCGUGUGACGUUGCUGUGGCGCUGUGUGAUACAAGUGCCCUUGUCUCUCUGCCGUGACCCUCGCAAACUGCCUCGCUGACCCACCUCAGCGGAUGUGGCGCUGUCUGUCUGUUGCCUUCUUUCUAACAUUCCAGCCUGCUUAUUUAUCCACCCUAUAAAACUUCAGGUGGAAAACAGCUUCCAUUUAUGGAUGGAAUUUAAUGUAGAAUAAAAAAGUGUUUACAUCUGUGAA